GUCCACGCCCUAAACGAUGCUUACUGGAUGUUGGUUUGGAUUGAAUCAGCAUCUAAGGGAAACCAUUAAGUAAGCCACCUGGGGAGUACGCCCGCAAGGGUGAAACUCAAAGGAAUUGACGGGGGUCGCACAAGCGGUGGAGUAUGUGGUUUAAUUCGAUGAUACGCGAGGAACCUUACCUAGGCUCGAAUGCUAAGUUAAUAUAGAUGAAAGUUUAUAGUCCGCAAGGAAAGUUAGCAAGGUGCUGCAUGGUUGUCGU
Molecule: ribosomal RNA, 259 nt
Filed under: uncultured bacterium
Lineage: Bacteria
Description: partial 16S ribosomal RNA
Rfam family: Bacterial small subunit ribosomal RNA
Source: RNAcentral